GAAUUCGUUAUAGCCUCCUACGGGGGGCAGCAGUGGGGAAUAUUGCACAAUGGGGGGAACCCUGAUGCAGCAACGCCGCGUGAGCGAAGAAGGCUUUCGAGUCGUAAAGCUCUGUCCUAAGGGAAGAAACCUGACGGUACCUUAGGAGGAAGCCCCGGCUAACUACGUGCCAGCAGCCGCGGUAAUACGUAGGGGGCAAGCGUUAUCCGGAAUCACUGGGCGUAAAGGGUGCGUAGGCGGCUAAUCAAGCCAGGGGUGAAAGGCUA
RNAcentral lists this ribosomal RNA (266 nucleotides) under uncultured Serpentinicella sp. RNAcentral's name for it is "partial 16S ribosomal RNA". It matches the Rfam family "Bacterial small subunit ribosomal RNA", at positions 322 to 604 of the family's 1533-position model. Lineage: Bacteria; Bacillati; Bacillota; Clostridia; Peptostreptococcales; Natronincolaceae. The record is from RNAcentral.